CCAGGAUGUAAACAAAGGGGAAAUGGUUGUCAACUAGUGCUGGACUGACUGUACUUCAUAUUGGAAAACAAACAGUCUUAAUCACUAAAGUUUUUUUGGGAUCCUGGUUACCUAAAUGCUGUCAAUAAUGAUUUGCAUAUAAUACAGAACUUAACAUCCGGUCUCUGCUGGAUUAAGUUAUAAAAAUGUAACACCGCUAUUUUGCUGCUGGUUUCUGUGGGUUGCAGUUGUGGCUGAGAGACUGGAGGCUCAGGAGGCUAGAGGAAGAUGUUGACCCCAUGGGGGUUGUUCCUCUGCCAGCUGGCAAUAAUCACAUCCUACCAUGUCAUCAAAGCCAGCCUCUGCCUGGGUGGGUCGGACAUCUUUGCAACGGUGAGCGAGAACAGCCCCGUAGGAGAGUUCAUAGCGAACCUCAGCAUCAUCGGGGACCCUACAGGAGUCAAUAGCAUCCGCUUGUGCCUCACCGGAGAGAACGCCAAUUGGUUCUACCUUGAAGGGAGAACCAUCAGGCUAAACUCAUCCG
This 523-nucleotide long non-coding RNA is filed under the name Salmo trutta (river trout). Its description in RNAcentral is "lncRNA (ENSSTUG00000002688.1)". Lineage: Eukaryota; Metazoa; Chordata; Actinopteri; Salmoniformes; Salmonidae. The record is from RNAcentral.